GGAGAGGAUGGCAGGAACUUGGUAGAGAGCGGAAAGGGUCUUGGUUUUAAAAGUCUCAUUGGGAUGACUCUGCCUUCCCCACUGUGAACACGGUUCAGCAUUUAUGUACUUUGGAAGGACAAAGAGGUGAGGAGAAAGAACCAGGGAACCCAACAGAGAUGGACAACAAUCAUCCUUCCAGCAGAGGAGACAGAAAAGCCAGUAGAAAUGCUGCACUGAAGGUUAAGAACUGAAGAAAAAACCUUUCUGUUGAGUUGCUCAAGAGUAUAUAACAAUAAAAGGAAGACAGAGGAUGCACUUCAGCUGCUACUAUAUCCUACAUUGUUAUAGAAUCAUCUUUUCUCUUUAAAAGUAAAUGAUCAAGAACG
This is a long non-coding RNA of Equus quagga, 368 nucleotides long. RefSeq lists it as uncharacterized. The record is from RefSeq and is a predicted model, not a curated record. The transcript has 3 exons. Lineage: Eukaryota; Metazoa; Chordata; Mammalia; Perissodactyla; Equidae.